ACUCGAGUGGCGAACGGGUGAGUAACACGUGGGUGAUCUGCCCUGCACUUCGGGAUAAGCCUGGGAAACUGGGUUUAAUACCGGAUAGGAGCCAUUUUUAGUGUGAUGGUUGGAAAGUUUUUCGGUGUAGGAUGAGCUCGCGGCCUAUCAGCUUGUUGGUGGGGUAAUGGCCUACCAAGGCGGCGACGGGUAGCCGGCCUGAGAGGGUGGACGGCCACAUUGGGACUGAGAUACGGCCCAG
This 241-nucleotide ribosomal RNA is filed under the name uncultured Actinomycetales bacterium. Its description in RNAcentral is "partial 16S ribosomal RNA". It matches the Rfam family "Bacterial small subunit ribosomal RNA", at positions 89 to 334 of the family's 1533-position model. The record is from RNAcentral. Lineage: Bacteria; Bacillati; Actinomycetota; Actinomycetes; Actinomycetales.